Molecule: long non-coding RNA, 517 nt
Filed under: Ananas comosus (pineapple)
Lineage: Eukaryota; Viridiplantae; Streptophyta; Magnoliopsida; Poales; Bromeliaceae
Description: long non-coding RNA (ACOM_LNC012112)
Source: RNAcentral
ACGUGGUUUGGGGUCAUGGUUGCUCCUGGUUGGAGUGUGUACGAAUUCCCAAGUGAGAAUUUCGUCCGGCUGUGAUUGGGUCUGCGCUUGCGAGCGAGAGACGUUGCGUGUAUCGAGACAGGCUAGGCAGUAGGCCUUCGUAGUAUUGGUGGUCUUUAGUCCACCCGUGGAAACCAACGUAAACAGUAUCGCUAAUAACUCUGUUGAUGAGUGGUGAUUAGAUUCACGAACGGAGUGUUCGUGUGAGUUUGUUGCGAGAACGAAUUAAUGAUGGUCGUGGCAAUCAAGGGGAAGGUAAAGUGGUCUCUAGGAGACACUUGGAUAAUGGAUAGCCACGCGGAAUUGAGGGUUGAAAUUGGUAAGGUGCCGGAGUGUGCCACCUCGUAGUAGAGCAAAAGUCCAAUUGGGAUUAGAGCACUCGCGAUUGGCCGAUGCACCAACGAUAUAGCUUCUAUGCAAUGCCGGUGAUCAAAUCGGAGUGAAUUCCCCAAUUGAGUGUGUAAUGCACUUUUGGAGU